Alligator mississippiensis (American alligator) is the source of this 684-nucleotide long non-coding RNA. RefSeq lists it as uncharacterized. NCBI's taxonomy places the organism in Eukaryota, Metazoa, Chordata, Crocodylia, Alligatoridae. The record is from RefSeq and is a predicted model, not a curated record. The transcript is spliced from 3 exons.
GGGCAGAGAGGCAGUAAGGGCAACAGCAGCCAAUGGGGAAGGAGUGCCUCUGAGAGCUCCACAGAGAAACUGGGUGAGUGGUCCAAAGGCAGGAACUAUGGAAGCCAUGGAGAGAUGGCAGCUGCACCAGAGGCAAGGACUGUAGCCAACGGUGGGGAGCUGAAGCAUGAACCCUGUGAAUGCAGAAUCCAAGAUGGGGACAUCAGAGAUGAAGCAAAGAGCUUGGGGAUUGAGUCAUAGAAUCAGAGACAUAUAGCGCUUUAUGGAACCUCAGGAGGUCAUCUACUCUCAUCAUCUGCUCAAGAUGGGAUAAUCUCUAUCUAAACCAUCCCAGACAAAGACUAAUUUCUACACUGCCUGAAUUGUACUUAAUUCUAUUCUUCAAAUCAAUAAUGAAGAUAUUGAACAGCACCACAGCCAAGACAGAGCCUGGGGAGUUCCACUUAAUAUAGCUUCCCAAUUUGACAUUGACCUGUUGACUGCUUUUUGAGCAUGAUUAUCCAACCAGUUAUACUUCAUCUUACAGUAGUUUCAUGAGGACCAUAUUGUUUUAGGUUAGUUUUAAGAUGGCAGACUGUGUCAAAAGUUUUACUAAACUUGGGUAUAUUAUAUCUACUUCUCCUCCCAUCCAUAAGACCCAUCACCUUAUCUCAGAAUAAAAUCAUCUUUAUUGGGUAUGAUUUG